Molecule: ribosomal RNA, 442 nt
Filed under: uncultured Porphyromonadaceae bacterium
Lineage: Bacteria; Pseudomonadati; Bacteroidota; Bacteroidia; Bacteroidales; Porphyromonadaceae
Description: bacterial SSU rRNA
Rfam family: Bacterial small subunit ribosomal RNA
Source: RNAcentral
UGAGGAAUAUUGGUCAAUGGGGCGGAAGCCUGAACCAGCCAAGUCGCGUGAGGGAAGACGGUCCUACGGAUUGUAAACCUCUUUUGCCGGGGAACAACGGGCGUCACGCGUGGCGCUGUGAGUGUACCCGGAGAAAAGACAUCGGCUAACUCCGUGCCAGCAGCCGCGGUAAUACGGAGGAUGCGAGCGUUAUCCGGAUUUAUUGGGUUUAAAGGGUGCGCAGGCGGCGCGUCAAGCCGGCGGUAAAAUUGCGGGGCUCAACCCCGUAGAGCCGUCGGAACUGGCGAGCUUGAGUGGAGAAGAAGUAUGCGGAAUGCGAGGUGUAGCGGUGAAAUGCAUAGAUAUCGCGCAGAACUCCGAUUGCGAAGGCAGCGUACUAUCCUCCGACUGACGCUGAGGCACGAAAGCGUGGGUAUCGAACAGGAUUAGAUACCCUGGUAGU